This 1204-nucleotide ribosomal RNA is filed under the name uncultured bacterium. Its description in RNAcentral is "partial 16S ribosomal RNA". It matches the Rfam family "Bacterial small subunit ribosomal RNA", at positions 28 to 1398 of the family's 1533-position model. The record is from RNAcentral.
GACGAACGCUGGCGGCGUGCUUAACACAUGCAAGUCGAACGAAGUGGCGAACGGGUGAGUAACACGUGAGUAACCUGCCCUUGACUCUGGGAUAAGCACUGGAAACGGUGUCUAAUACCGGAUAGUCAAGGAUGGACUCGCGGCCUAUCAGCUAGUUGGUGAGGUAAUGGCCCACCAAGGCGACGACGGGUAGCCGGCCUGAGAGGGUGACCGGCCACACUGGGACUGAGACACGGCCCAGACUCCUACGGGAGGCAGCAGUGGGGAAUAUUGCACAAUGGGCGCAAGCCUGAUGCAGCAACGCCGCGUGAGGGACGACGGCCUUCGGGUUGUAAACCUCUUUUAGUAGGGAAGCGGUACCUGCAGAAAAAGCACCGGCUAACUACGUGCCAGCAGCCGCGGUAAUACGUAGGGUGCAAGCGUUAUCCGGAAUUAUUGGGCGUAAAGAGCUCGUAGGCGGUUUGUCGCGUCUGCUGUGAAAACUGGGGGCUCAACCCCCAGCCUGCAGUGGGUACGGGCAGACUAGAGUGCGGUAGGGGAGAUUGGAAUUCCUGGUGUAGCGGUGGAAUGCGCAGAUAUCAGGAGGAACACCAAUGGCGAAGGCAGAUCUCUGGGCCGUAACUGACGCUGAGGAGCGAAAGCAUGGGGAGCGAACAGGAUUAGAUACCCUGGUAGUCCAUGCCGUAAACGUUGGGAACUAGAUGUAGGGCUGUGUCGCAGCUAACGCAUUAAGUUCCCCGCCUGGGGAGUACGGCCGCAAGGCUAAAACUCAAAGGAAUUGACGGGGGCCCGCACAAGCGGCGGAGCAUGCGGAUUAAUUCGAUGCAACGCGAAGAACCUUACCAAGGCUUGACAUACAGGUGGUGCAUGGUUGUCGUCAGCUCGUGUCGUGAGAUGUUGGGUUAAGUCCCGCAACGAGCGCAACCCUCGUUCUAUGUUGCAACUCAUAGGAGACUGCCGGGGUCAACUCGGAGGAAGGUGGGGAUGACGUCAAAUCAUCAUGCCCCUUAUGUCUUGGGCUUCACGCAUGCUACAAUGGCCGGUACAAAGGGCUGCAAUACCGCAAGGUGGAGCGAAUCCCAAAAAGCCGGUCUCAGUUCGGAUUGGGGUCUGCAACUCGACCCCAUGAAGUCGGAGUCGCUAGUAAUCGCAGAUCAGCACGCUGCGGUGAAUACGUUCCCGGGCCUUGUACACACCGCCCGUC